Molecule: ribosomal RNA, 565 nt
Filed under: Debaryomyces hansenii
Lineage: Eukaryota; Fungi; Ascomycota; Pichiomycetes; Serinales; Debaryomycetaceae
Description: LSU rRNA
Rfam family: Eukaryotic large subunit ribosomal RNA
Source: RNAcentral
CAACAGGGAUUGCCUUAGUAACGGCGAGUGAAGCGGCAAAAGCUCAAAUUUGAAAUCUGGCACCUUCGGUGUCCGAGUUGUAAUUUGAAGAAGGUAACUUUGGAGUUGGCUCUUGUCUAUGUUCCUUGGAACAGGACGUCACAGAGGGUGAGAAUCCCGUGCGAUGAGAUGCCCAAUUCUAUGUAAAGUGCUUUCGAAGAGUCGAGUUGUUUGGGAAUGCAGCUCUAAGUGGGUGGUAAAUUCCAUCUAAAGCUAAAUAUUGGCGAGAGACCGAUAGCGAACAAGUACAGUGAUGGAAAGAUGAAAAGAACUUUGAAAAGAGAGUGAAAAAGUACGUGAAAUUGUUGAAAGGGAAGGGCUUGAGAUCAGACUUGGUAUUUUGCGAUCCUUUCCUUCUUGGUUGGGUUCCUCGCAGCUUACUGGGCCAGCAUCGGUUUGGAUGGUAGGAUAAUGACUAAGGAAUGUGGCUCUACUUCGGUGGAGUGUUAUAGCCUUGGUUGAUACUGCCUGUCUAGACCGAGGACUGCGUCUUUUGACUAGGAUGUUGGCAUAAUGAUCUUAAGCC